AGAGCGAACGCUGGCGGCAGGCUUAACACAUGCAAGUCGAGCGCCCCGCAAGGGGAGCGGCAGACGGGUGAGUAACGCGUGGGAACGUACCUUUUGGUUCGGAACAACACAGGGAAACUUGUGCUAAUACCGGAUAAGCCCUUACGGGGAAAGAUUUAUCGCCGAAAGAUCGGCCCGCGUCUGAUUAGCUAGUUGGUGAGGUAACGGCUCACCAAGGCGACGAUCAGUAGCUGGUCUGAGAGGAUGAUCAGCCACAUUGGGACUGAGACACGGCCCAAACUCCUACGGGAGGCAGCAGUGGGGAAUAUUGGACAAUGGGCGCAAGCCUGAUCCAGCCAUGCCGCGUGAGUGAUGAAGGCCCUAGGGUUGUAAAGCUCUUUUAACGGGGAAGAUAAUGACGGUACCCGUAGAAUAAGCCCGGCUAACUUCGUGCCAGCAGCCGC
RNAcentral lists this ribosomal RNA (443 nucleotides) under uncultured bacterium. RNAcentral's name for it is "SSU rRNA". It matches the Rfam family "Bacterial small subunit ribosomal RNA", at positions 26 to 518 of the family's 1533-position model. The record is from RNAcentral.